UACGUAGGUGGCAAGCGUUGUCCGGAUUUACUGGGCGUAAAGAGCGCGCAGGCGGUCAUUCAAGUCGAGUGUGAAAGCCCCCGGCUCAACUGGGGAGGGUCAUUCGAAACUGGUCGACUCGAAGGCAGGAGAGGGUAGUGGAAUUCCCGGUGUAGUGGUGAAAUGCGUAGAUAUCGGGAGGAACACCAGUGGCGAAGGCGACUACCUGGCCUGUUCUUGACGCUGAGGCGCGAAAGCGUGGGGAGCAAACAGG
Molecule: ribosomal RNA, 253 nt
Filed under: uncultured bacterium
Lineage: Bacteria
Description: partial 16S ribosomal RNA
Rfam family: Bacterial small subunit ribosomal RNA
Source: RNAcentral